AGAGAACGCGGGGGGCGUCCCUAAUACAUGCAAGUAGAACGAAGAUCUCCUAGCUUGCUGGGAUGGAUUAGUGGCGCACGGGUGAGUAAUAUAUAGUUUAUCCCCCCUACACAGAGGAACAACAGUGGGAAAGGGCUGCUAAUACCUCAUACUCCUAUUUGACAUAAGUUAAAUAGAGAAAGUCUUUUCGGUGUAGGAUGAGACUAUAUCGUAUCAGCUAGUUGGUAAGGUAAUGGCUUACCAAGGCUAUGACGCGUAACUGGUCUGAGAGGAUGAUCAGUCACAUUGGAACUGAGACACGGUCCAAACUCCUACGGGAGGCAGCAGUAAGGAAUAUUGCGCAAUGGGGGAAACCCUGACGCAGCAACGCCGCGUGGAGGAUGACACUUUUCGGAGCGUAAACUCCUUUUAUCAGGAAAGAAUAAUGACGGUACCUGAUGAAUAAGCACCGGCUAACUCCGUGCCAGCAGCCGCGGUAAUACGGGGGGUGCAAGCGUUACUCGGAAUCACUGGGCGUAAAGGACGCGUAGGCGGAUUAUCAAGUCUUUUGUGAAAUCUAGUGGCUUAACCACUAAACUGCUUAGGAAACUGAUAGUCUAGAGUAGGGGAGAGGUAGAUGGAAUUCUUGGUGUAGGGGUAAAAUCCGUAGAGAUCAAGAAGAAUACCCAUUGCGAAAGCGAUCUGCUGGAACCUAACUGACGCUGAGGCGUGAAAGCGUGGGUAGCAAACAGG
RNAcentral lists this ribosomal RNA (732 nucleotides) under uncultured Campylobacter sp. Its description in RNAcentral is "bacterial SSU rRNA". It matches the Rfam family "Bacterial small subunit ribosomal RNA", at positions 28 to 776 of the family's 1533-position model. The record is from RNAcentral. Lineage: Bacteria; Pseudomonadati; Campylobacterota; Epsilonproteobacteria; Campylobacterales; Campylobacteraceae.